This 445-nucleotide ribosomal RNA is filed under the name uncultured bacterium. RNAcentral describes it as "bacterial SSU rRNA". It matches the Rfam family "Bacterial small subunit ribosomal RNA", at positions 331 to 793 of the family's 1533-position model. The record is from RNAcentral.
CCAGACUCCUACGGGAGGCAGCAGUGGGGAAUAUUGCACAAUGGGGGAAACCCUGAUGCAGCGACGCCGCGUGAGUGAAGAAGUAUUUCGGUAUGUAAAGCUCUAUCAGCAGGGAAGAAAAUGACGGUACCUGACUAAGAAGCCCCGGCUGACUACGUGCCAGCAGCCGCGGUAAUACGUAGGGGGCAAGCGUUAUCCGGAUUUACUGGGUGUAAAGGGAGCGCAGGCGGCGCGGUAAGUCUGAUGUGAAAGCCCGGGGCUCAACCCCGGGACUGCAUUGGAAACUGUCGUGCUGGAGUGUCGGAGGGGCAAGUGGAAUUCCUAGUGUAGCGGUGAAAUGCGUAGAUAUUAGGAGGAACACCAGUGGCGAAGGCGGCUUGCUGGACGACAACUGACGCUGAGGCUCGAAAGCGUGGGGAGCAAACAGGAUUAGAUACCCGAGUAA